This 992-nucleotide long non-coding RNA is filed under the name Homo sapiens (human). RNAcentral's name for it is "novel transcript". The record is from RNAcentral. Lineage: Eukaryota; Metazoa; Chordata; Mammalia; Primates; Hominidae.
AUGUCAGUUAAGAGUAAUCUAUGGUCCUUUCAAAACUCUUGCUGGGUUUUGCCUAAGAUUCGAAGCCUAAAGCUCUGAAUUCUGACCUCCCUGAUUACUGACUGAGGAAACAAUAUCCCCAAAAUGGAAAGCUCCAGGUCUGUGUGCUUAGAUUUAGGCUCCAAGGACUGAACACCCUGCAUGUAAGGUGUGUGUCUAAGCAGUAUUUAUGACAUAACAAACCAGCCAAGAGCUGGAGGUUCUGAUCAGCAAAUAAGGAAGGAACAACAUCUGACAUCUUUACCCACUUUAACUGAAAGUUCCCACAAUAAUCUCAUCAUGAGGCUCACUCGUUCUCACCUCCAGAGUUCUGGGGGGUAAAAUAAUACAUAAAUGCAAGGAUUAUCUUAUAUAUACACCAAGGGAAAGGAAAUACUGCCUAUUAAGAAUUAGCAGCUAACAGCUGGGCGCGGUGGCUCACACCUGUAAUCCCAGCACUUUGGGAGGCCAAGGCAGGCGGAUCACAAGAUCAGGAGUUCGAGACCAUGCUGGCUAACAAGCAUCAAGCAAAGAACUUGUAAUACGCUGAAUGCUGCAUAGAAGGUUUUGAAACUACUUACCUGCUGUGGAACACCUGUAUAACUUUAAAAUGCAUCAAUCAAUCUCGAGAGUAUGAUCAUGCUUCCUGCUUUUAAGGAUCUGAAGUUAACUGCAACUCCAAGUAUACAAGACUUCUUUGGGACCCAUGGAAGCAUCUCUACAUGCUCAUGUUUGCCAGAUUCAGUGGCCUCCUGAAACCUGGCCCUAGCUAAUAAGUUAAAAAGCUCUAAGUAAUCCCGAGCUGCAUUUGAAUCUCCAAGAUCACUUGUUCAUGGGUUGGUAAUACUUUAAAGAGCCAUUUGUUUAACUGCUAAUCUGGAUCUUAUAUUCUGAGCCCCAGCUUUUUUCUAAAGCAAAGAAAAUACAAAAUAAAAGUAAGACCAAAUGCCUUUGUACCAUGGAGAGAGAAAUGA